AACGAACGCUGGCGGCAGGUCUUAGGCAUGCAAGUCGAACGGGUGUAGUAAUUCACCAGUGGCGAACGAGUGAGUAACGCGUGGGAAUCUGCCCAUCUCUGGGGAAUAACGUUUGGAAACGAACGCUAAUACCGCAUACGCCCGCAAGGGGAAAGAUUUAUCGGAGAUGGAUGAGCCCGCGUUGGAUUAGUUAGUUGGUGGGGUAACGGCCUACCAAGGCGAUGAGCCAUAGCUGGUCUGAGAGGACGAUCAGCCACGCUGGAACUGAGAUACGGUCCAGACUCAUACGGGAGGCAGCAGCUAAGAAUAUUGGGCAAUGGAGGAAACUCUGACCCAGCCAUGCCGCGUGAAUGAAGAAGGCCUUCGGGUUGUAAAGUUCUUUUAGUCGUGACGAUGAUGACGGUAGCGACAGAAAAAGCACCGGCUAACUUCGUGCCAGCAGCCGCCGUAA
This 451-nucleotide ribosomal RNA is filed under the name uncultured bacterium. RNAcentral describes it as "partial 16S ribosomal RNA". It matches the Rfam family "Bacterial small subunit ribosomal RNA", at positions 29 to 523 of the family's 1533-position model. The record is from RNAcentral.